UGCCUCGGCGGGGUCACGCCCCGGGUGCGUCGCAGCCCCGGAACCAGGCGCCCGCCGGAGGGACCAACCAAACUCUUUUCUGUAGUCCCCUCGCGGACGUUAUUUCUUACAGCUCUGAGCAAAAAUUCAAAAUGAAUCAAAACUUUCAACAACGGAUCUCUUGGUUCUGGCAUCGAUGAAGAACGCAGCGAAAUGCGAUAAGUAAUGUGAAUUGCAGAAUUCAGUGAAUCAUCGAAUCUUUGAACGCACAUUGCGCCCGCCAGUAUUCUGGCGGGCAUGCCUGUCCGAGCGUCAUUUCAACCCUCGAACCCCUCCGGGGGGUCGGCGUUGGGGAUCGGGAACCCCUAAGACGGGAUCCCGGCCCCGAAAUACAGUGGCGGUCUCGCCGCAGCCUCUCCUGCGCAGUAGUUUGCACAACUCGCACCGGGAGCGCGGCGCGUCCACGUCCGUAAAACACCCAACUUCUGAAAUGUUGACCUCGGAUCAGGUAGGAAUACCCGCUGAACUUAAGCAUAUCAAUAAGCGGAGGAAAAGAAACCAACGGG
This 545-nucleotide ribosomal RNA is filed under the name Trichoderma gamsii. RNAcentral describes it as "eukaryotic LSU rRNA". The stretch from base 141 to 294 matches the Rfam family "5.8S ribosomal RNA". Lineage: Eukaryota; Fungi; Ascomycota; Sordariomycetes; Hypocreales; Hypocreaceae. The record is from RNAcentral.